Molecule: ribosomal RNA, 206 nt
Filed under: uncultured bacterium
Lineage: Bacteria
Description: partial 16S ribosomal RNA
Rfam family: Bacterial small subunit ribosomal RNA
Source: RNAcentral
CAUGUAGGUGGAUACUUAAGUCUAUUGUGAAAAUGCGGGGCUCAACCCCGUAUUGCGAUGGAAACUGGGUGUCUUGAGUGCAGGAGAGGAAAGGGGAAUUCCCAGUGUAGCGGUGAAAUGCGUAGAUAUUGGGAGGAACACCAGUGGCGAAGGCGCCUUUCUGGACUGUGUCUGACACUGAGAUGCGAAAGCUAGGGGAGCGAACG